Molecule: transfer RNA, 77 nt
Filed under: Dreissena polymorpha
Lineage: Eukaryota; Metazoa; Mollusca; Bivalvia; Myida; Dreissenidae
Description: tRNA-Gly
Source: RNAcentral
CCAUGGGUGGUGAAGUCGAGUGGUAACACUCUGGUCUACCAUUUCAGAGGUCCCCGGUUCGAUUCCUGGCCGGUGCA